RNAcentral lists this non-coding RNA (18 nucleotides) under Arabidopsis thaliana (thale cress). Lineage: Eukaryota; Viridiplantae; Streptophyta; Magnoliopsida; Brassicales; Brassicaceae. The record is from RNAcentral.
CGUAUGGUUGAUUCUAGC